UAAAGGGCGCGUAGGCGGCUUUAUAAGUCAGAUGUGAAAUCCCUGGGCUUAACCUAGGAAUGGCAUUUGAAACUGUAAGGCUAGAGAUCGAGAGAGGAUAGUGGAAUUGCGAGUGUAGAGGUGAAAUUCGUAGAUAUUCGCAAGAACACCGGUGGCGAAGGCGGCUAUCUGGCUCGAUACUGACGCUAAGGCGCGAAAGCGUGGGGAGCAAACAGGAUUAGAUACCCUGU
Molecule: ribosomal RNA, 230 nt
Filed under: uncultured bacterium
Lineage: Bacteria
Description: partial 16S ribosomal RNA
Rfam family: Bacterial small subunit ribosomal RNA
Source: RNAcentral